CCCUCUAUAUAUAGGACAUACAUACACAGUGCAAAAAAAAAUCAAAAUCCCUCUCUCUCUCUCUCUCUCUCAUCUGAGACCCAAACAUCGGUUUCGUCUUCCUCUUCCCUCUAUCUCUCUCUCACUUGAGCUAUGGUUUGUCGAUCGGUGGUGGUUCUCUCUCACCGACCUCGCUGCCAUCGUUUCUAUUCUCUCUCCUCUCCGAUAGCACCGCCACGAUAGUUGUUCGCCCACCACCAUCUCCUGCUCUCACCGACGUCACCGCCGACUGACCACCACUCAUCCGUUACCUCUCUCUCUUCUAAACACCCCCCGCAACAUCUAUUGCCAUCGCCAUCGUCAACAUCCAUAUGCUCGCUCUUCAUCACUCUACUUCUAUUUUUCCUCCUCGUGACGUUUUUCAGUGGAAUCGUCGUCGGUAGUGGCGAGAAUAGCAAUCACCGUUGACUCUCCGUCACCGUAGUCUCCAUGAUAUCCACAAAAUCUAUAUUGUUUCGAUUUGAGAAAUGAUUCGAUUUCAACGAAGUAGACGUUCAAAUCUACGACCGCCUCUACCACAUCGCCUUCGCAAAGUCCAGAUUUACAACUGCCGCAGUUCCAGUGUUUCUUGCGACUCUUCAAGGGAUCACGAUCUCAGCUCAAUCGUUCACAACACCAUAGACAGGGGAAUUUUUAGCACAACAAUGAUGGAGAUGAUUGGAGGGUAGAUUAGUGGGUUGAAGUUACCUCUUUCUUGGGAGCCAAGAGCUUUAGUAUCGAUCUUGGUCACCGUAGAGAGAGAGAGAGAGAGAGAGAGAGAGUCAAAAAAUGGAUUCUGGAGUUUUCUUUUUGUUGAACAGAUCUAGUUUGUGUGUGUGUGUGUGUGUGUGUUCAACAGCUUCAACCGUGUCCAUACUGAAGAUCCUCGUCAUCCCCAAACCCGAUCUGUGUUAGAUCUAUUUGUUUGUUUUUUUAAUUAUUUUUUUCGAUUUGAAAUCAGAUCUGUUCAAUUUUUUGAACAGGUAGUAGGUGUGAAUUUGAACAGACAGGGCCGGUCCUGAGAUUUAGAGGGUUUAAGGCGACACUUCAGAAUUUUAUAUUGAAAAAAAAUUUUUUUAUAGAAAAAACGUUAAGUUACAAUUUUUUUAUUUGUUUGUAACUAUAAAAAAAAUUUACUUGCAUAUAUAAUUAUUAAAAUUAUAAAUAAAAAAUUUUCAUAUAUUAAGAUAGGAAGCAAUCAUUACAAAUGCUUAAAAAAAUAAAAAUUUAGUCUUGUAUUUUUUUAGGCCUCAUGUUCAAUUGGGUCUAUAAUAUUUAGGUCUUUAUAUAUAUAUAUAUAUAUAUCUAAAACACAAAAUUAUAUUUGGGGACCCCUAUUUUUAGCCCAAAUUUGGGGGCCCAAGGCGCAGGCCUCUCUUGCUUACCCUCAGGGCCGGCCCUAACUAACAGAGGGAGGUUUUCCGGAGAGGAAAGAUCGACUAGAGUUGUUGAAUUUUAACAGAUAGAUAGUAGAAAGAGAGAGGUUUUUAACAGAUAGAUUUGUUGUUGUUAGAUUUUUAACAAAUAGAUAUUAUUUUGUUGU
Camellia sinensis is the source of this 1561-nucleotide non-coding RNA. The record is from RefSeq and is a predicted model, not a curated record. NCBI's taxonomy places the organism in Eukaryota, Viridiplantae, Streptophyta, Magnoliopsida, Ericales, Theaceae.